Long non-coding RNA from Triticum aestivum (bread wheat), 2732 nucleotides. RefSeq lists it as uncharacterized. The record is from RefSeq and is a predicted model, not a curated record. NCBI's taxonomy places the organism in Eukaryota, Viridiplantae, Streptophyta, Magnoliopsida, Poales, Poaceae. The transcript has 7 exons.
GGCCCUCCGCACACGCCAGUCCAGCCCAGCCCAACUCCCGUUCAUACUGCCUCCCGGACCGGCGUCUCCGGCUCCGGCUCCACCGACGUGGCCCGCGACGGCGGCGGCGGCCCUCCUCUCCUGCGUGGCUGCGAACCAUCUCCCCUCGCGCAGUUCGAGCCUUGUAUGGCUGUAUGCGCAGCGCUCUUCAGCGACACCAAUCUCGCCGCGGACUUCCCUUCCCCGGCGUGCUCUGGUAGGUUCCGCCGCAACGUGGACUUCCCCGACCGGGGAUGGCUCUGUCUUCCCCUUCCCCGCGCAACGCCCCCACCACCCGUCCCCGUUCCCGGCGCCGGGGUGAUAUUGUCCCGUCCCCGAUCCCCAUGGGGUGGCUGUCCCCGUUGCAGCUACAGGCUGACAUCUGGAGGAAACUGCCAUUUAUUAAUUUGGAGCAGGAACGGGAGGUCCAUGCGUGUGCCCUCUCAGAAACAGCGGAUGCUAGUGAAGGAAGGCGCUCGGCACAGCCAUGGCUAUGGUGCGCCCGUUCCCGGACCACCUCCCCUACUGUAGCACAGCAUGGUUUCCUUCCUCCUCCCUUUUGAUAGUUGACUUCAGUUUUGCAAAGUUGGAAGGUGGAAGGACUAACACAGUAUAUGGUCUCGUUGAAAGUAGGACCUCGGUGAUCUAAGCAAAUAAGAUAGAAGUUAGGUGGAAGAGAAGGGAAAAUUACAGCAACCACCAAGAAAUGAGAGAUCUAGGAUUUUGGUGGUUCUGCAAGACUACAGAAGAUCCUAUUCAAGGAGCAGUCUGACAACUUCGAAUUUUUACAGCACAUCUUGCUGGUCCUGGACUGCUGGUUCAGGAGGGAUGAAGAAGGUUCCAACAGUUACACCAUUGCCUAUCCUUCUCACCAGAUGCUAUCUGGCAUGGUCCCAUGAAUGAAGUUUCGACAUGCGAUCUAGUUUGUCGGCAUGUGUGCACUUUUUUCAACACCUGCAGUUUGGAAGGCGGCCACUUUAUUCAAGAAACUGCAUCUUGGAAGAGAUUUAUUUAAUUACGAGGAAAGAAAACAAUACUACACUACCCUCACUUUUAUGAGCAAGCAGGAGCUUGGAUGAGAAGACCAAGCUCAAGGUAUGAGCUCAUUGAGAUGGUCCUUUUCUCAAAGGUACACUGUAUUUGGAGCCUUGGACCUUUGACAAGACCUAUUUGUUUUCUGAACAAACAAUAUUCUUCUGUCAUUUGAUAUGGUAUGCAUGUUUUUGUCUCACGAAGAGUAACAUAGUGCACAGUAUUUACCAUUGUCAUAUGUUUAUACAGUUUCGCUUGCUGCGCCUUUAGCGUAUUUGUCGUUUUGUAUAUAUCUUUCAAGCUAGACAAAUAUUUAUUUUGUUUUGUUCAUACAACCUUGUGGCAGUUUUUGUGUUCAUGCUACAGUAUCCAUACCUGAAGUUAUACCGCAGCCUGCAAAAAAUAUAAAUCCAAACACCUCCUGUCUAAUGAUUUAAUAAUGAAACACUCAUUUUCUUAACAUACUAUGGAUAUCUUUGGCUCUAUAGUACUAGAUUACUACAUGCAUUUAAUGUUCUUUUUCUGUUGAUUGCCUUGCCAUCCUCCUCUCUAUUUGUUCUUCUGAUUAUUUUUACUUGACAACGCUUUCUUCUGUGGAUUGAGAAACACAGCCUAGCAGACUCUCUGUCUAUUGAAUACCUAUGAUAAAUAAGUCUCUUCACGUGCAUGACACUUUAUGUAUUUUAUUUUACAAUUCGGCACAACAUAUUAAUAAGAUUUAGUGGGCUCAUCUGAUAGAUCACUAGCCCAGUUACAAUUUGAUACAACAUGUUAGUUGACUCUCCAUGUUCCUCGGUAUUCGUAAGCAACAUGUUAUAUCCAUCAGUGCACAUCAUUGCAGAAAUAAGACAGUCUUUUAAUUAUACAAACUGCAAAGUGAUCAAUCUGUCAAAUGCUAAUCUCCAUCUUUUCCCUAUGCUCAAGCAAUUGAAAUGAUCUCAGUGGCACUUCUUUCAGCAACUGCAUUUGUUGUCGUCAUGCUGUCAGUUCUUGCUGAAGCUGCAUUUGUUGUCAUUUUGACUUCCAGGAAUCUGCUUUCCUGAUGGUAGUCCGUUAGUUUGCACAAGGGAGACGCCACCAAGGAAACAGGACAGGGAGAAGCUCUGACGAAUUUGAGAGUGGUGGGCCCUAAUGACAGCUGUUCAUAUACAGAUGAUUUUUCAAGAGGACGCCAAUUUUGUUCUUUUCAAAACCGAACAUCUCAUGAUCAACUUGGUAGUUGGUACCUUAUAUAGUUCUUAAAAAUAUAUUUGGAGAAUGUGUGGAUUGGAGAGAUUAUGGAUGAGGACUAGCUUGUGUAUGACCUUUCAUUUUUGGGUUAUGUUUAUUAGAAUAGAGUUGUUCCCACUGUCUAGUAUGUAGAUUUUUGUUAUCUGUCAGGACCCAGUCCUGCUACUGCUGAACUGAAGAAACAGACGCUCAAGGAGAAACAGAGAAGUUCAGAUAAGGGACGGCUGAGAUCGAAGCACGACAUGUAAGCCAAGAUGGGCGGCUCGGAUGGCGUUGCCGUACUUUACCGCCAACGUCAGUAACACUGUUACUUUAAACCAACUCCAGACAUUAUUGUAGCUUAGAACCCUAGAUACUGUACUGUAAGCCGGGUCUCCUCCCGUGCAGCUACCUGAUUACCAGCUACCUGAUUACCUUCCGCUUUCAUCGAUUAAUCCAAAUAUUCUCAGUCC